RNAcentral lists this ribosomal RNA (252 nucleotides) under uncultured bacterium. Its description in RNAcentral is "partial 16S ribosomal RNA". It matches the Rfam family "Bacterial small subunit ribosomal RNA", at positions 525 to 776 of the family's 1533-position model. The record is from RNAcentral.
ACGAGGGGCCCGAGCGUUAAUCGGAAUCACUGGGCUUAAAGGGUGCGCAGGCGGACUUGUAAGCAUCUUGUGAAAUCCCCCGGCUCAACCGGGGAACUGCAGGGUGAACUGCAAGUCUUGAGACAGGUAGGGGCAGAUGGAACUGUCGGUGGAGCGGUGAAAUGCUUAGAUAUCGACAGGAACGCCAAUGGCGAAGGCAAUCUGCUGGGCCUGUUCUGACGCUCAGGCACGAAAGCGUGGGGAGCAAACAGG